Molecule: ribosomal RNA, 292 nt
Filed under: uncultured bacterium
Lineage: Bacteria
Description: partial 16S ribosomal RNA
Rfam family: Bacterial small subunit ribosomal RNA
Source: RNAcentral
GUGUCAGCAGCCGCGGUAAUACGUAUGGGGCAAGCGUUAUCCGGAUUCAUUGGGCGUAAAGAGCGCGUAGGCGGCUUGGUAAGUCAGAUGUGAAAACCGGGGGCUCAACCCGCGGCCUGCAUCUGAAACUGCCAGGCUUGAGUCUGGUAGAGGAAAGUGGAAUUCCCAGUGUAGCGGUGAAAUGCGCAGAUAUUGGGAGGAACACCAGUGGCGAAGGCGGCUUUCUGGGCCACGACUGACGCUGAGGCGCGAAAGCUAGGGGAGCAAACAGGAUUAGAAACCCUAGUAGUCC